This 76-nucleotide transfer RNA is filed under the name Bacillota bacterium. Its description in RNAcentral is "Firmicutes bacterium (anaerobic digester metagenome) tRNA-Lys". It matches the Rfam family "tRNA". From Rfam's summary of the family: Transfer RNA (tRNA) molecules are approximately 80 nucleotides in length. The record is from RNAcentral. Lineage: Bacteria; Bacillati; Bacillota.
GAGCCCGUAGCUCAGGUGGUAGAGCACCGGACUUUUAAUCCGGGUGUCCUGGGUUCGAGUCCCAGCGGGCUCACCA